CCUUGCGCGCAGUGAGCACCCCGACCUACGGAAUGCGCCGUGCUUUGCGGGGAUGGGGGGGUAGGGGGCUGGUCUCCACCGCCUUUGCUGCUGCUUUGUUGAUCGCUUGUGUGCUCGCUGUUCACAGAAGUUCCAGAAGUGUGAGCCCUGCACAGCGGCCCGGCCCUUGCCGUGCCUUCUGGCCCGCGAGCACCGCCUGCAGGCUCUGUAACCUGGGAACACGUCUUCAGUUAUCAUUGUUUAUAAACGUAGUAAGAGGUAGUCUUCCCAUGCCACCAAAAGCAUAGGGGGUACAGUCUGCGAGAUUCUCAUAGAUAUGGAUGCACCCCAUCAGGAGCCCAAAUGUAAAAAUGAGCUGGCAAAGAAACCAGCUGCUGUUGAGAAGCCCAAUGGAGAUGACCACAUGGCAAGGAAUUGAGGACUGCCAACAAUAGCCAGCAAGGAACUGAGACCUCUUGCCAAUAGUCAUGAAAAUCAGUUGCCAUGGCCUGUGACAGCCCUGUGGAAAGACUCACAUGAGUAUGCGUGGAAGCAGAUCUCCUAAGAUGUUUAAUCACUCUCUCUACCCUCAGUCUCAAUUCCUGUCAGUGUCAGCUACAGUUUCAGUAGUGUUUGCUCAGAUUCCCCUGAC
Long non-coding RNA from Pteropus alecto (black flying fox), 631 nucleotides. RefSeq lists it as uncharacterized. The record is from RefSeq and is a predicted model, not a curated record. The transcript is spliced from 4 exons. Lineage: Eukaryota; Metazoa; Chordata; Mammalia; Chiroptera; Pteropodidae.